CAGUGAGACGGUGGGGGAUAAGCUUCAUCGUCGAGAGGGAAACAACCCAGACUACCAACUAAGGUCCCCAAGCGUGUGCUAAGUGGGAAAGGAUGUGGAGUUGC
RNAcentral lists this ribosomal RNA (104 nucleotides) under Umezakia ovalisporum. Its description in RNAcentral is "Chrysosporum ovalisporum partial 23S ribosomal RNA". It matches the Rfam family "Bacterial large subunit ribosomal RNA", at positions 981 to 1084 of the family's 2925-position model. Lineage: Bacteria; Bacillati; Cyanobacteriota; Cyanophyceae; Nostocales; Nodulariaceae. The record is from RNAcentral.